UUAAGUUGGUACCUUAGUAAAGUUUUAAAAACUAGGAGGCAUUUAAAACAAUGAAAUUAUUACCUUAGCAAUAACACACAAACAAACAAGUCAGAUUAUACUUCUCACACUUCGUUACUGCAUCAGUCAUGGGCUGUUCGCAGAAAAGAGAAGUGCCUAUCCCAACUGCUACAAAUGAUGAAGGUAUUAAUCCUACGAUGGAGUUUUUUUGGGCCUUGCGUCGCCUUAUUUUUAGACUUGAAGCAAAAAUAAGGACAUACCUAAUGCUCAAACUUGUGUUAGUUCAGAAGUUGAAUGCAUACAAAGAAGAUCACUGAACUCAUUCAGUGCUAGUUCAUGUUUACGGAUCAUAUAGAGUUUCAGAUUUCGAAAUUAUAAAGUUGCACACCGUAGUUUGUUUAGUGAUAAAAUGAAUUUCAAGAAAAUAGUUCAACAUGCAGAAAAUCAAAUGAAGAAAUGUAUUGUUAAUUGCUUUAAUCUUUUUAAUUAAUAAAGAAACUUUUUUGAUCCGUA
Molecule: long non-coding RNA, 513 nt
Organism: Aethina tumida (small hive beetle)
Lineage: Eukaryota; Metazoa; Arthropoda; Insecta; Coleoptera; Nitidulidae
Exons: 2
Source: RefSeq, a predicted model, not a curated record